AGCAUAUCAAUAAGCGGAGGAAAAGAAACCAACAGGGAUUGCCCCCAGUAACGGCGAGUGAAGCGGCAACAGCUCAAAUUUGAAAUCUGGCCUCGGCCCGAGUUGUAAUUUGCAGAGGAUGCUUUUGGCGCGGCGCCCUCCGAGUUCCCUGGAACGGGACGCCACAGAGGGUGAGAGCCCCGUAUGGUCGGACGCCAAGCCUGUGCAAAGCUCCUUCGACGAGUCGAGUAGUUUGGGAAUGCUGCUCAAAAUGGGAGGUAAAUCUCUUCUAAAGCUAAAUACUGGCCAGAGACCGAUAGCGCACAAGUAGAGUGAUCGAAAGAUGAAAAGCACCUUGAAAAGGGGGUUAAACAGUACGUGAAAUUGUUGAAAGGGAAGGGCUCGUGACCAGACUUGUGCCAGGCGGCUCAUCCGGCGUUCUCGCCGGUGCACUCCGCCUGGCUCAGGCCAGCAUCGGUUCUUGCCGGGGGACAAGAGCGGCGGGAACGUGGCCCCCCUCGGGGGGUGUUAUAGCCCGCCGCACGAUGCCCUGGCGGGGACCGAGGUCUGCGCUCCGCAAGGAUGCUGGCGUAAUGGUCACCAACCACCCGUCUUGAAACACGGACCAAGGAGUCGUCCAUCAGAGCGAGCGUUUGGGUGUCAAACCCGCACGCGUAAUGAAAGUGAACGCAGGUGAGAGCUUCGGCGCAUCAUCGACCGAUCCUGAUGUACUCGGAUGGAUUUGAGUAAGAGUUUUGCUGGACGGACCCGAAAGACAGUGAACUAUGCUUGUAUAGGGUGAAGCCAGAGGAAACUCUGGUGGAGGCUCGCAGCGGUUCUGACGUGCAAAUCGAUCGUCAAAUAUGAGCAUGGGGGCGAAAGACUAAUCGAACUGUCUAGUAGCUGGUUACCGCCGAA
Molecule: ribosomal RNA, 897 nt
Filed under: Hapalocystis berkeleyi
Lineage: Eukaryota; Fungi; Ascomycota; Sordariomycetes; Diaporthales; Sydowiellaceae
Description: partial 28S ribosomal RNA
Rfam family: Eukaryotic large subunit ribosomal RNA
Source: RNAcentral